RNAcentral lists this ribosomal RNA (271 nucleotides) under uncultured bacterium. RNAcentral describes it as "partial 16S ribosomal RNA". It matches the Rfam family "Bacterial small subunit ribosomal RNA", at positions 1231 to 1500 of the family's 1533-position model. The record is from RNAcentral.
UGGCGUAAACAGAGGGAAGCGAGCCUGCGAGGGGGAGCGAAUCCCAAAAAUAAACGUCCCAGUUCGGAUUGUAGUCCGCAACCCGACUACAUGAAGCUGGAAUCGCUAGUAAUCGCGGAUCAGAAUGCCGCGGUGAAUACGUUCCCGGGUCUUGUACACACCGCCCGUCACACCAUGGGAGUCGGAAAUGCCCGAAGCCGGUGACCGAACCUUAGGGACGGAGCCGUCGAAGGUGGAGCCAAUGACUGGGGUGAAGUCGUAACAAGGUAGC